GUCAUAAUUUCCAAAUGGAGGGCGAGGGAGAGCUGUGUCUGUGUGUGGAGUAAUGGUUAUCAAACAUUUUUUUGCCAUUAGUUUCACAGGUUACAUGCUGCUAGAAAUGAGGUGGUCCACCUUCCCAGUGGCCGACAUGGUUGCUGUAUGGACAGUGGAGAGGACAUGGACGUCUCAUUUGUCAUGCCACUUUACUGCCAGCUGUUGAACGUUCUCCUUGAACUCCACCUCCCCUCUCUGCAUCUUCCUGCAUCCGAGUGCCAGCAUCCACCCCUGUUCGACCUGACUGUGCCACAGGCCCUUGUGCUGUUGGAGAGCAGAUGCUGGAAGAGUGUGGGACUGCUGUAACAAUUGUCCACAUACAAAGUGUGUCGCUUGCUGAGAUGAGGAGCCAGCAUGGUCAUCACCACGGACCCGGACACCCCAAGCCCAUCGUAAUGUUGGAUGUCAGUGGUGGACCCUGUGUAAACUAUAAUGUCCUGGACCAAUCCUGUCUUCACGUCGCACAUGCCAAAGAACUUGACCCCAAACCUUUGCCUUUUGGAGGGGUUAUAUUGACGGAACGCCAGCCUACCUUUCCCUAACAUCAGGUACUCAGCAAUGCAUAGGUCCUUGUAUGGCACAAAGACCUGACCAAAUGCUGAUGUCAGGCUGCUCCAAGGCAUAGCGAUUGGUCUCCUCUACUAUGUCUCCCACCAGCUCCUCUGUCAGAAACAACUUGAAGCACUCUGCCUCAGGUGGAAAUGGCAAGGGGUGUUGCACUCCAGACUGGGACUCAUCAAAGCAAAGAGCAAGGCCAGGAGGGGUGAAAUGGCUGUCAGCCUUCCAGCUACCACAGAACUCCUGUACUUCAUCCACUGUCGGUCUGCCUCCAUCACCACCAGCAUCUUCAAAGGUACCUGGGACUUCGUCAGUGGACAAGGAGUCCUCAGAUUCAGGGUUCUCAAUGGCUACAAGGUUGGGGGGCAGCUACUUACUGUCAGAAUUUGUAAGAUUUUCUACUUAGUGUGCCUCUAACAUGCACCAAGCUAACAAACGUUAUUACCAUGAAUUGCAGCUAUUACACAUGUUUUCCACUAACCAACUAGUUAUGUCUCAAUGCAGCUUACACAAGCAAACUGAUGUUUCCACUCACAGCACAUAACAGGAACUGGCCCAACCACAAGCCUGCGGGGGCCCCAUCUCGUGAUAACAGCAACAGUGUCUGGCAUGCCCGACCCUGUGAAAACAGGAACAGGAACACGCACACACACAUAAGCCAUAGCUUAUCCAAGGCACACACACCCUUAUUUAGAGCUUUGAUAGAAACCUAACAUCAUCAGAACAUUGGACCUGAGCCAACCAGAGGAUCGGGACUUCAAGACUCAACCUACUUUCUGUGUUGUAUAAAACAUGUAAACAAACUGUUUUAGGCACUCUCUUCCGCUGGCUCCCUCAGAGCUACUGGAACGAGUCCGUGCACACUGUACCAAAUAUCUUCACUCUGAAUAAACUAUCGCUUGUCAUAUAAUUUAGCGCCUUGUCCGAAUCAGUCCUUGACCGACUCUCCCUUCUUCUCAUUCCAUUUACCAACAAUACUCAGACUUAUUGUCAGAACUUUUUUUAAAUCUCAAGAAUUUCCGCAUUUGUGAGCUGUCUCCUUUUGAAAGACAUUGCUAAUGCUACAGCUUAGCUCACUAGCUACAUACAUAAACAACAACACUGAUUGGCUCGAAGUGGGAGUGAGAGGUUACGUGAUUGACUGCCGACAUGCGCCACUUGUAUCAAUAAAUCCCUAUCAGAAAA
Molecule: long non-coding RNA, 1785 nt
Filed under: Salmo salar (Atlantic salmon)
Lineage: Eukaryota; Metazoa; Chordata; Actinopteri; Salmoniformes; Salmonidae
Description: lncRNA (ENSSSAG00000103652.1, ENSSSAG00000121962.1)
Source: RNAcentral